This 440-nucleotide ribosomal RNA is filed under the name uncultured bacterium. Its description in RNAcentral is "partial 16S ribosomal RNA". It matches the Rfam family "Bacterial small subunit ribosomal RNA", at positions 338 to 795 of the family's 1533-position model. The record is from RNAcentral.
CCUACGGGUGGCAGCAGUGAGGAAUAUUGCACAAUGGGGGAAACCCUGAUCCAGCGACGCCGCGUGAGUGAAGAAGGUUUUCGGUGUGUAAAGCUCUAUCAGUCGGGAAGAAAAUGACGGUACCUGCUUAAGAAGCACCGGCGAACUACGUGCCAGCAGCCGCGGUAAUACGAAGGGGGCCAGCGUUAUUCGGAAUUACUGGGCGUAAAGGGAGUGUAGGCGGGAGGACAAGUUUGGGGUGAAAUGCCGGGGAUCAACCCCGGAACUGCUUUGGAAACUGUGCAGCUAGAGUGCAGGAGAGGUAAGUGGAAUGCCUGGUGUAGAGGUGAAAUGCGUAGAUAUUAGGUAGAACACCAGUGGCGAAGGCGGCUUACUGGACUGUAACUGACGCUGAGGCUCGAAAGCGUGGGGAGCAAACAGGAUUAGAUACCCGGGUAGUC